This 4142-nucleotide long non-coding RNA is filed under the name Papio anubis (olive baboon). RNAcentral's name for it is "lncRNA (ENSPANG00000043557.1)". Lineage: Eukaryota; Metazoa; Chordata; Mammalia; Primates; Cercopithecidae. The record is from RNAcentral.
AUGUCAGGGUGCCAUCUGAAUAAGAAGCUAGGGAAGGUCACCACUGAGGAGGUGUAAGCUGCCGCAGGGAUAUGCCCCAGAUAAUAUUGGUGGCAGAUGAGGAUGACUGGUAAAGAAGCUCACCAGUGAAAAGAAGUAGAACUGGGGGAGCGGGUCAAGUGUGUGUCUGAAAGCUGAGAAGGGCCAGUGGAUAAAAAGAGAAACAAUCCAGACUACAGGAAAGAACACAGGGUCUCAACCGAAAUGAUGACCUCCAAGGCUGGCUCUGUUGAGGAAAAUGUCCACCUCAUCUUCUGAAACUGGAAAGUGGAGGGCAGGGGAGGUGACAAACCAGAGACAUAUCGGAGUGGAGGGGAGAUGACCAGAGAUCACUCCAGUGGGCCUGUCUUCUCGUGACCAUCCACCUAGUUGGGACAGGGGUAGAGAGCAUCUGAAGAGAAGGGAGGACAUUUGCAAGCAUCUUGGAUAGAACAGAAUGGAAGGGGAAAGGAGACAAGGGAAAGUUUUAGGCAGACGAUGAGAAUUGGAUAAAGAAUCAAAGCGAGCUGGGUAGGAGAAUAAAUGCAUUAAAAUCCCCGAAAAGUCAGCAGUGGAAAGUAUUCUCAAGCUCUCUCUUCCUUCCUACGCUGGCCUAAAACGAGGCCACAGUCCAGUCAGGCCUCCUAAUAUUCAGUAAGAUCAGCAGUGCGUAGGUUGCUCCUCGGGGCUCAAGUCCUAGACUCAAGGCUUAAUGAGUCACCUGCUCUAUAUUUUCCACUUGCAGGCCUUUGGCUUUCUGAGACCUCAGUCCACUCAGCUGCAAAAUUGACUUACAGGAUGAUGUCAAUCGCCAGAUGCUGCAGAGCAGAGCAGCGGGUCCAGCUUCUGCAGGGAUGGAGAGCUGGCCCAGUCACUGCAGAGGAAAACAAUACAGCCAGUCAUGUAAGGCGGCAGCUGACUCACCACGGAGGCUGCCCAUUACCCUGUGUGAGUCUAGAGAACCGCUGAUGGGCCCAAGGACUGGAAAAGCACCACUGACUUCUAAGCUUGAAAAGAAGCUUCCUUGGUGGAUGACUGUAAGCAGUAUCAUCCUGACUGCUCAAUCUGACUAAAAGAAAGAACAAAGAAAAGAAAUGGAAAAUAGUGGGGGAGGAGGAGGGAGAGAAGAAAAAAAGAAAGAAGAAAAACCCUCCAUAGACUAUGGCAUCAAAAACUCCAUUUACAAGCUCUGAGAAGAUCACAGGGUGUAGGGGUGAUUUUGUGAAGAACAAAUUCUUUCAGGCUAAUCACCACCCAGCCUCCUGGGAGUUCAAGAGGGAGCAAUAGCUUCUUGUCUUCUGGAAGGAGAGAGGAUUUUCAAAGCAUUCUGUCCCUCCGGAAGGGCAGUGUGAUAUAAAAACAGGAGGUGGUUGUGGCGUCUGUAUUACUAUUAUUAUUUGACAGAAUUGUCUUUGAGAGAUUGUUCUCCUGCCUAAGAGGGAAAUUAGACUGAGGGAGCAAAUUGUUUCUGCAAAUUUCUUCUUUAGAGAAAUUGGGCUCCAGGGGUGUGAAGAGACAUAGUGAGGGGGUCUGCAGUGGAUACCUCAGCAGGCAGACUCAUUGCAUCUUCAUCUUCACCGAGAACCAACUGGAUGUGUGACCUUGUGAGAAGUUGGGUGGAACUAAAUUUGCUGUAACUCUCUUCAGAAAGGAUCAGAAUGAAUAUUGUACUCCUCACAUCAAAGCUUUUCCCAAGAGCACCAAGCAAGGGCCACUUUCUUGCCCAUCUGGAGUCCCUGCCUUUUAAGUGAUCAGAACAGAUCCUGAAACACUCCCUUCUUCAAGAAUCGUAGUCAGAGCCAGGGCAAGAGGAGCGGUGACCCCCUUCAACCUUCCUUUGAAUAAAUGCGAGUCACUCAGAACACUCCCUUCAGCUCAUCGUGCCAGAAAUACAAUGGUUGGUGCCUUGUUCGCAAUCUGAAUCUUAAUUCCUCCCUACUGUAACACCUCUUUGAUCCCUUCCUUGUCAGGGGAUGAGGCACGCGGGAGGAGUGAAAGUGCCAUGUAAUUUGGGCUCACUCCUUAAAGCACUGAAUCAUAAAAAAUAAACAAGGAGCCUGGUCGUAUUGCAUGCUUUCCUGCUGAAAUAAACAGAGGACAUUUCAUACUUGAAAUUUUAUGAUUCAGGCCAUCGUCUUGAAUGAGCAUUAUAUUGUGCGCUUGUAAUUCACACACAGUGUGUAAUAAAAGGCUAAGUAGUGGUGAUUUCUGCCUGUCUGGCUGAUGCUUUUAAUGGAUCCUGAUUUUUGAGGCAUUACAUGUUAUUAACUACUUUUCUGUACGUGUGCUCAGGAUUAACCCUAUCAGGGUUAAUGAAGGAAGUGUUAAAAAGACAUGGCUCAAGGUAAGAAGCUCCAUUACAGAGAUUAGAAACCAUGUCAGAAAUUCAUUCCCAGCAUGGUUGUGAGCAAGGAGAUUUGAAUAAAUGCUCUUUUGUGUAAUGAGGGUGGUGGCCAUGGCAGGGAGAGACAUCAGUUAGGAUUCUUGGUGUGAGCAACAGAAACCAACUCUGGUAACUUGAGCCAGAAAGGGUAUUUCUGGGAAGAAUUCUAAGUGGGUCCCAGUGUUUAAGGAAGAGCUGAACCACCAGGUCCCAGAAAGAACUAAAUGAAGGCUGCUCCUGUGAACUCAACAACAGGACUCAUGGACCCCUCCCUAGAAUGCUGACAUACCAUCACUCCACUGCAAUCACCUCCAGUGCCUGCAUGUCUCCACUCAAGAGCGGAUUCCUGAGAAAGGUGAUGGUGAUAUAAUUGGCCCAUUUGAGGCCAUGAGUCUAUCCCUGCGCCAAGUAGAUGGAAUCCUGUAUGUGGCAGCCCCAUAAAAACCACAGAGAAUGAAGAAAGGGCAUCUCUCCCAAAGAAAGGAAUGUUGAGUGGACAAAAAUAACAGAUCUCCAUUAGAGACAGCCUCACUGACAUAAAUCUACACAUUUUCACAUUCCCUAAAGUCCAGACGCUCCUGGUUUCAUCUGAAUGUGUCUUCCUAUCCCAGGAGCUGGCCUAUAACCUGUUCUUCCUUCAGAGGUCGUCGUAGGCAGAAUGUACUUCCCCGCCUGCUCCACAAAAAGGUCCAUGCCCUAAUUCCCAGAACCUAUGAAUAGGGGCUUUUGCAGCUGUGAUUCAGCUCAUGGACUAUAAAAUACAGCAAUUAGCCUGGUUUAUCCAGUGGGCCCACAUGAGUCAGGGAGAUUCAGGACAAGGAAAAAUUGGAGAAAUCCUGAGCAUGAGAGGGACAAGAUGCCCUGCUGCUGGAGAAGGGCCACAUGGAAAACACAAGAAGGAAUUCAAACAGCGCUGAGGAGCAAGGAUCGGCCUCUGACAGGCCAGCAGGAAACCAGGGACCCCAUCGCACAACUGCAAGGAACUUGAUUUAACCAACAAUCUGAACGAGCCUAGAGCUGGGUUCAGACCUGGAGAUUCCAGAAAGGAACCCAGCCUUGCUCACGUCUUAAUUUUAGCCUCGAAGGGGAGAGCUCAAUGAGGCCACACACUCUACCUAAACUUCUCACCCACAGAGCUAUGAAAUGAAACUUUGUGUUGUUUUAAGCCACUAAAUUUGUGACGAUUGGUUACGGCAGCAAUAAAAAACCAAUACAGAGCCCAUGUAGAGGUCUCACCCACUAUAGCAUUAAUGCCAGCAUCUUAUGAUUUUCUUGGUGACUCUCUGGGGGGAUAAGCUCUCUGGGUUUAUCAACUUGACUGUAGUUCUUUUUCUGCAUCAUCAGCAAUAACAUCAAUAACAAAGUUAAAAAACUAUUUAUUAAGCACCUACCAUGUGGUAUAUUAUUUAUAGCAUUAUAAUUUUUAGUCCUCACCAAAAAAAAAAAAAAAAAAAGAUUUCACAGAUUAAAAAGUCUCCAUGUCACUGCAUUUUAGAACAUGAGGACAGUAAUAAUGCCUACUUCACUGGAAUUUUACAAGGAUUGACUAAGAUACAGAGAGGUUGCAUAACUCGUCAAAUUCACACAAAUAGUAAGAGAGAGAGCUGAGAUUAAAACCCUAUUCUGUCUGACACAAACCUGUGUUCCUACUAAGCCACACUGCCGCAACAAUAUGGCUAUGGAAGCACAUGAAAUAACAUGUCACUUAACUGGAAUCCAGUAUCACUUCAUGGCCUCAAGU